GCGUGAAAUAAUGUGAAUUUGCAGGACACAUUGAACAUCGACAUCUUGAACGCAUAUUGCGGCUCCGGGUCACUCCCGAGGCCACGUCUGUCUGAGGGUCGGCGAAUAGCACUCGCAAGCGCAAGGCUUGCGCCUUGGCCCGUCGGUUGAUGCGGUGGUCAAUCGUCGAGCCCGAGAGAAAGCCACGGGUGUUGGACGUUUCUAAACUCACCCUUGAAUCUUCUUCCUUUGCGAUGCUUUUGUGCACCUGCGAUGGGAGUCGCUGCUCGAUUUGGCUUGUUGGUCGAGCAACGGGGGCCCCCAGCGCUCUCGUCGCAAGCUCCAUGGUGUGCGAAGGCGUUUUGCUUAGGCUAGAGGAGGGUUCGUAUAUAAUAAUAAUAAGGGAGAGCGAGGGAAAGCACUCGGCGGUGGAAAGCGACAAAGUAAGUCUCCGGCAGUAGGUAGUAAAAGAAAGCCAGCUCGGGCCGUUCUUUUCCCUAGGGCAAAGAGAGAGACGAAACGAAAAA
This 506-nucleotide ribosomal RNA is filed under the name Cumberlandia monodonta. RNAcentral's name for it is "eukaryotic LSU rRNA". The stretch from base 1 to 101 matches the Rfam family "5.8S ribosomal RNA", at positions 55 to 154 of the family's 154-position model. The record is from RNAcentral. Lineage: Eukaryota; Metazoa; Mollusca; Bivalvia; Unionida; Margaritiferidae.